This 305-nucleotide ribosomal RNA is filed under the name Mycodrosophila dimidiata. RNAcentral describes it as "partial 12S ribosomal RNA". Lineage: Eukaryota; Metazoa; Arthropoda; Insecta; Diptera; Drosophilidae. The record is from RNAcentral.
AAAAUUUAUUAUUAAUUUAAUUUAUAUGUAAAUUUUUGUGAGAAUAUUUAUAAAUUUUAAUAAUUUAUAAAAUUUAUUUAACCGCAGUAAUUAAUUUUAUUUUUUAAAGAAAUUUAGAAAUAGUUAUAUUAAAAAGUAUAGAUUAAAUUGGUGCCAGCAAUCGCGGUUAUACCAAUUAUGCAAAUAAAUUUUUUUAGUUAAAGUUAAAUAAAUAAUUUAUUUAAAAAUAAUUAAAUUUAUUAAGUGAAAUUUUAAAUUUAAAUUUUUUAAUAUUUUUUUAAUUGAAGCUUGAAAAUUUUAAAUAA